UACGGAGGGUGCAAGCGUUAUUCGGAAUUACUGGGCGUAAAGCGCGUGUAGGCGGGAAGGUAAGUCUGAUGUGAAAGCCCUGGGCUCAACCUGGGAAGUGCAUUGGGUACUGCUUUUCUUGAGUUCUGGAGAGGAUGGGGGAAUUCCCGGUGUAGAGGUGAAAUUCGUAGAGAUCGGGAGGAAUAUCAGUGGCGAAGGCGCCCAUCUGGACGGCAACUGACGCUGAGACGCGAAAGCGUGGGGAGCAAACAGG
Molecule: ribosomal RNA, 253 nt
Filed under: uncultured bacterium
Lineage: Bacteria
Description: partial 16S ribosomal RNA
Rfam family: Bacterial small subunit ribosomal RNA
Source: RNAcentral